GUGAGGAAUAUUGCACAAUGGGCGAAAGCCUGAUGCAGCAACGCCGCGUAGGGGAUGAAGGUCUUCGGAUCGUAAACCCUUUUUCUGGGGGACGAGAAAGGACGGUACCCCAGGAAUAAGUCUCGGCUAACUACGUGCCAGCAGCCGCGGUAAAACGUAGGAGGCAAGCGUUAUCCGGAAUUACUGGGCGUAAAGCGCACGCAGGCGGUUCCGUUAGUCCGACGUGAAAGCUCCUGGCUUAACUGGGAGAGGCCGUUGGAUACUGCGGAACUUGAGGUUGGGAGAGGAAAGUGGAAUUCCCGGUGUAGUGGUGGAAUGCGUAGAUAUCGGGAGGAACUCCAGUGGCGAAAGCGACUUUCUGGCCUACACCUGACGCUGAGGUGCGAAAGCGUGGGGAGCGAACAGGAUUAGAAACCCCUGUAGUCC
RNAcentral lists this ribosomal RNA (426 nucleotides) under uncultured bacterium. RNAcentral's name for it is "bacterial SSU rRNA". It matches the Rfam family "Bacterial small subunit ribosomal RNA", at positions 354 to 796 of the family's 1533-position model. The record is from RNAcentral.